This 253-nucleotide ribosomal RNA is filed under the name uncultured bacterium. RNAcentral describes it as "partial 16S ribosomal RNA". It matches the Rfam family "Bacterial small subunit ribosomal RNA", at positions 524 to 776 of the family's 1533-position model. The record is from RNAcentral.
UACGUAGGGUGCGAGCGUUAAUCGGAAUUACUGGGCGUAAAGCGUGCGCAGGCGGUUUGUUAAGACAGAUGUGAAAUCCCCGGGCUUAACCUGGGAACUGCAUUUGUGACUGCAUAGCUAGAGUACGGUAGAGGGGGAUGGAAUUCCGCGUGUAGCAGUGAAAUGCGUAGAUAUGCGGAGGAACACCGAUGGCGAAGGCAAUCCCCUGGACCUGUACUGACGCUCAUGCACGAAAGCGUGGGGAGCAAACAGG